AGCACUCCCCUUGACAAGGACAGAAGAGAUCAAACGAUCUUUCUGACACACACACACAUAUAUAUAUGUAUAUAUAUACAAAUGUAUAUAUUUAU
Octopus bimaculoides (California two-spot octopus) is the source of this 95-nucleotide non-coding RNA. The record is from Rfam. NCBI's taxonomy places the organism in Eukaryota, Metazoa, Mollusca, Cephalopoda, Octopoda, Octopodidae.